RNAcentral lists this long non-coding RNA (2900 nucleotides) under Fragaria vesca (wild strawberry). RNAcentral describes it as "long non-coding RNA (FVES_LNC000875)". The record is from RNAcentral. Lineage: Eukaryota; Viridiplantae; Streptophyta; Magnoliopsida; Rosales; Rosaceae.
UUAUAAGUGGGUGGAUCAUUCCUAAUUGUACCGAGGCCUUUUGUGAUUAAAACCCAACACCUUAAAGGUGGUUAAGUUGGGACAAACCCAUACUUCUGAGUAUAGCCUUUUGCUACUAACCUUGCCUUGUACCUGUCCACAAAACCAUCAGAAUUAUGUUUCAUCGUAUACACCCACCGACAACCAAUUGUCUUCUUCCCUGGUGGCAAUGACACUAACUCCCACGUAUGAUUCUUCUCAAGAGCAUCCAUCUCAACUUUCAUUGCCUGCAUCCACUUCUCAUCCUUCAUAGCAUCCUGCACUUUACUAGGAAGAGACACAGAAGAUAAUUGAUUCACAAAUGCUACAUAUGGUUUAGACAACCUGUGGGUAGACACAUAAUUAACAAUUGGAUAUUUAGCCUUAGCACUUAGAGUAGGUUCAUAAUAUUUUGGAGGCUGACCACGGGUUGAACGACUAGGCAAGAUUUUAGUUGGGACAUUAUUUGACACAGAAGAACUAGUAGAAAAACAAGGAUUAGGACAUACCUCGGGUGAUGAUUCAGCAGGUGAGACCGAUGAAGAAGAGGGAGAGACAGAAGAGCCAUUUAAAACAGCGCCAGAAGACUGCAACACAUCAUUAGAUUCAGGAUCUGAAAUCACUUCCCUAGCCGAUCGGUCGGAUUGUUCUGGAUCUAAUUGACCGUUGGGUAAAACACUGCCCAAAGAUUCUUCUCUAACCGGACAUUCUGACACGACCCACCCCGAAUUUCACCCUGAAACCCAGAGUAAGUCGUGCGGGGACCACUUCCAAGGAAAAUUUACUGAAAAGAUUAAGAAAAUCUCCCUUGCAGAUGGACAACCCUAACUCGAAAAUUUCAAAUUACACUCUUAAUUUAUCACUUCUGAACAACGCAUAAUAUACAAAAAUUCUAAAGUAAUUCAGAGCUACUAAACACAAGCGGAAGCAAGAAAACACGAGUAGGUUGAACAGGUAACCUACUGGCGAAAACUGGCAGAAAUGCGGGUGACUAUGCCUCGUCUCCUACUAGAUCCAACCCGAACUCUGCAGACUGGGCAAUUUAAAACGAAUGGCCCAGGGGAAAACAUUUAAUAACGUUAGAGUGAGUGGACAAAAAUAAAAUAAUAAAUAAAAUAUUUAUGUUUCCCCAAAUUAAUUCUAAGGAAAAAAUCGAAUGCAUGCCGCAAGCGAUAAAACUUUUAUCCCAUAAAAUAUCGAGCCUCUCAGACUCUAUAAUAUAUGUAUGUAUUUACACACGCCCAUACUCCCUAUAUAAAUUCAUGGGUCUAUAUAGGGCUACUACGCGCGCGUCCAACGCUCACGUCACGCCUUAAUGCGGUGCUACACUACGCCAUUAAGGUGGACAGACGGGUGUAUAAAUAUGUGUCCAUACCCCCUAUAUGAAUUAAACACUCAAAUAGGGCUACUACGCUUACGUCCAACGCUCACGUCACACCAUAAUGCGGCUAUAUGCUACGCCAUUAAGGUGGACAGACACAUAUGGCUAGCUAGCAUUUCAUACAUACUCUCUCAUAUAUACAUAUUUAUUUUCACCGAAAAUCCCAUUUUCGGUAACUCUCUNNNNNNNNNNNNNNNNNNNNGAGAAAAGAAGAAGAAAUGGGUUGGGCUCGGCCCAGCCGACCCAACACUCCUUUUAACCCAAAAUUCCAAAAUUCAACACCCCGAAAAAUAAUACCCGAAUAAAAAUUACCUUUUACUAGCUAAAAUUUACUAUUUUUACCGUCGUCGUAUUUUCCCCAUACGAAUUAUCCUCCGCACAUAAUCAUCCCCGAAACCCCUCUAGGGACCAAUUAAACUAUUUACUCAAAGAUCGGGACGGUAAAAUUCUUAUUAUAAUCACGCUAGUAAAUGAGGUAAAAAUAUAAGGGUCGGGAUGUGACACAUUCAGAUUGAACUGGUGUGUCACUGAUUCCACUUUUUUCUGUUUCUAUCUCGGAUGACUGAUCUGUAGAGUUGGGCUGACCAUUUGGUGAAAUUUUGUCGUUCUUUUCAAGCUCUGUCGCUACACACUCCACCCUUGUGACUUCUGGUGUCACACUCUCAUUAUGUCCAACAAACAAAUCUUCAUAAUAACUAAACCUCUCCCCCUGACGAGGAGUCACAGGAGGCAGGAAAUAACAUACAUCUUCACUGAAAGUAACAUCCAUGGUGACAUAAAACCUUUGGGACUGAGGAUGAUAACAUUUGUAGCCUUUCUGCUGAGAGCCAUACCCAACAAAUACACACUUAAGGGNNNNNNNNNNNNNNNNNNNNCUAGACCUAUGACUCUUAGCCGAAGCACAAGUUUCACAAUGCAAACUAGACUCACUCACUCCGAAAAACAACGAAGGCAUGGACUUUUUCAUUACCCCAAAAGAUGCAUGUCCCAAACGUCUGUGCCACAACCAUAACUCACUCAACCGAUCAGAACUCAAUGUCAGGGCCAAAGGUUGUUCUGGUGCUUGUGCUUGUCCUGUGUACAUGCAAUCUAAGUGAAACAGUCUCCCCCUCAGGUCUCCCUUGCCAAUGAUCACCCGAGUGCACAGAUUCUGAAAAACAACAUACAUUGGAUAAAAGGUCACGGAACACUUAUUUUGUGAACUCAACUGAGAUACUGAUAAUAGAUGAUGAGACAACGAGGGUACAUAAAGGCAUCAUGUAAAACAAUAGACGGUGUUACCUGGAUAGACCCAAUACCUAAGACCGGAAAAGAUGCACCAUUUGCAUUACAGACAUGAGAAAUAGGACGGAUAAGACAUAGACACAAAGAAAGAUUUAUCAUAGGUCAUAUGGUCUGACGCACCGGAAUCAAUAAUCCAUGUAUCUCCACCAGUAAAGUUAGCAACAUGUAAAGCAACACCAAAUUUACCUCGAGUUUCCUUAGUCAAGGAAAUAUUAUC